UGGGGAAUAUUGCACAAUGGGCGCAAGCCUGAUGCAGCCAUGCCGCGUGUGUGAAGAAGGCCUUCGGGUUGUAAAGCACUUUCAGCGAGGAGGAAGGUGGUGAACUUAAUACGUUCAUCAAUUGACGUUACUCGCAGAAGAAGCACCGGCUAACUCCGUGCCAGCAGCCGCGGUAAUACGGAGGGUGCAAGCGUUAAUCGGAAUUACUGGGCGUAAAGCGCACGCAGGCGGUUUGUUAAGUCAGAUGUGAAAUCCCCGGGCUCAACCUGGGAACUGCAUUUGAAACUGGCAAGCUAGAGUCUCGUAGAGGGGGGUAGAAUUCCAGGUGUAGCGGUGAAAUGCGUAGAGAUCUGGAGGAAUACCGGUGGCGAAGGCGGCCCCCCUGGACGAAGACUGACGCUCAGGUGCGAAAGCGUGGGGAGCAAACAGGACUAGAUACCCUGGUAGUCCACGCUGUAAAACGAUGUCGAUUUUGGAGGUUGUGCCCCUUGAGGCGUGGNUUCCGGAGCUAACGNGUUAAAUCGACCGCCNGGGGAGUACGGCCNCAAGGUUAAAACU
This 558-nucleotide ribosomal RNA is filed under the name uncultured bacterium. RNAcentral's name for it is "partial 16S ribosomal RNA". It matches the Rfam family "Bacterial small subunit ribosomal RNA", at positions 355 to 901 of the family's 1533-position model. The record is from RNAcentral.